Molecule: ribosomal RNA, 549 nt
Filed under: uncultured bacterium
Lineage: Bacteria
Description: bacterial SSU rRNA
Rfam family: Bacterial small subunit ribosomal RNA
Source: RNAcentral
AGGGAAUCUUCGGCAAUGGACGGAAGUCUGACCGAGCAACGCCGCGUGAGUGAAGAAGGUUUUCGGAUCGUAAAGCUCUGUUGUAAGAGAAGAACGAGUGUGAGAGUGGAAAGUUCACACUGUGACGGUAUCUUACCAGAAAGGGACGGCUAACUACGUGCCAGCAGCCGCGGUAAUACGUAGGUCCCGAGCGUUGUCCGGAUUUAUUGGGCGUAAAGCGAGCGCAGGCGGUUAGAUAAGUCUGAAGUUAAAGGCUGUGGCUUAACCAUAGUACGCUUUGGAAACUGUUUAACUUGAGUGCAAGAGGGGAGAGUGGAAUUCCAUGUGUAGCGGUGAAAUGCGUAGAUAUAUGGAGGAACACCGGUGGCGAAAGCGGCUCUCUGGCUUGUAACUGACGCUGAGGCUCGAAAGCGUGGGGAGCAAACAGGAUUAGAUACCCUGGUAGUCCACGCCGUAAACGAUGAGUGCUAGGUGUUAGACCCUUUCCGGGGUUUAGUGCCGUAGUUAACGCAUUAAGCACUCCGCCUGGGGAGUACGACCGCAAGGUUG